Long non-coding RNA from Neoarius graeffei (lesser salmon catfish), 930 nucleotides. RefSeq lists it as uncharacterized. The transcript has 3 exons. The record is from RefSeq and is a predicted model, not a curated record. Lineage: Eukaryota; Metazoa; Chordata; Actinopteri; Siluriformes; Ariidae.
CUAGGGCAGAAUAGUUCCAUUCAUUGCUUGAGAAUAUACUUUCAGAAAAGAUGGUUUAGAUGGUUGAAUCCGUUUUCCUUGAUGGUACAAUAGCUCAAUACAUAUUUGACAAGAUGACUUGACUGUGAGUCUUUCUUGAGCGUAAGUAAAAAUGAUUUCUACGAUUUGCAUAAACUGCUGCAUCGACAACCUAUGCCCCCCUCCUGGAACCUAUGCCCCUCCUUUGCCACCCUAAGGAAAAAUCUCUGGAGCCGCCACUGAAUGUUGGAGGUUCUAUUUGAGACCAAUGCUCAUCUAUCCUGAAAGUUUCAUGAAGAUUGGUCCAGCCAUUUUCCCGUAAUGUCGUUAACAAAAAAACAAAGAAACAAACAUACAAAGAAACCCCACCAAAAACAAUACCUCACCCCCUGGUGGACUCCAUCCUGGGCAAGGACAGUGCAGAGACAGGACAGGAAAUGAGUGGGAGAGAGGGACAGGGAGGGAUCAGGAAAUAACCUCAGGUCGGAACCGAACCCGGGUCCCCGGAUUCACGGCAUGGCGCCCCAGCCACCUGAGCCACGACACCCCCACAGAAUCAGUGGGAUUGAAGGUCCAGAUAAACAAGUGGUCAGUGGCAGCAGUCGUAAAGCCACAGGGCUGCACCACAUGAGGUCUGGAUACUUCAGAGGGCAACAAAUGGAGACAGCCCCUAAAAUACAAUGAGAGAAGAGCUUCAAAGAGACACAGAAAGAGAAGUAUGCGACUAUUGAAGAAAAGAGCAAAGGAUAAAACAGAUAUGUGUCUCAGCAUCAAUUGGCAGUUUACAGACUCAGUUGAGAAAAGCACAACUGAUGCUUUACAAGCACUACAUCAGGCUGCACAGUAUGAACCUCAACACAAGUCUGAUUCAUGCAGAUUUACACAUACACAAAAUAUAAAUGGUAUUCUAUC